This 387-nucleotide long non-coding RNA is filed under the name Equus caballus (horse). RNAcentral describes it as "lncRNA (ENSECAG00000056861.1)". The record is from RNAcentral. Lineage: Eukaryota; Metazoa; Chordata; Mammalia; Perissodactyla; Equidae.
CCCCUCCCCUGCUUCUUCCCGACCCGCGCCGCAGCGAUCGCAGACUCUAGGGGAGGGAGCGAUGUUCUCUCUACCGUUCCAGCGCCUCCGAAGGUGAAAACGGGACAGAGUCCCCUUGGAUGCCCAAAGGGAGGACCAGAUAUGAUCAUGCCGAAGUCAUGGAGCCUCAAUGAAAACUCUGGACAACAAAGCUUGGAGGAACGUCCUGCCUUGGCAAUACCACAUGCGAAUGGCCACACUUGAUGUCCGGAGGAUGAGGCAUCUCUGAGGAAGACAGAAGCUCUGCAUUUGGAACUGCCUGCCUGAUUCUGCCCUAUACGCCUCUUCCUUUGGCUGGUUCUGAUGUGUAUCUUUUUGCUUUAAUAAAGCACAAUCAUAAGUAUAGCA